GUUGAUCCCGCCGGACCUGACUGCUAUCGGAUUGAUACUAAGCCAUGCGAGUCAUUGUAGCAAUACAAGGCAUACGGCUCAGUAACGCGUAGUCAACCUACCCUAUGGACGGGGAUAACCUCGGGAAACUGAGAAUAAUACCCGAUAGAACAUUAUUCCUGGAAUGGUUUAUGUUUCAAAUAAUUUAUUGCCGUAGGAUGGGACUGCGGCCUAUCAGUUUGUUGGUGAGGUAAUGGCCCACCAAGACUAUUACAGGUACGGGCUCUGAGAGGAGUAGCCCGGAGAUGGGUACUGAGACACGGACCCAGGCCCUAUGGGGCGCAGCAGGCGAGAAAACUUUGCAAUGUGCGAAAGCACGACAAGGUUAAUCCGAGUGGUUUCUGCUAAAGGAACCUUUUGACAGUCAUAGAACCACUGUUGAAUAAGGGGUGGGCAAGUUCUGGUGUCAGCCGCCGCGGUAAAACCAGCACCUCAAGUGGUCAGGAUGAUUAUUGGGCCUAAAGCAUCCGUAACCGGCUUUGUCAGUUUUCGGUUAAAUCCAUACGCUCAACGUAUGGGCUGCCGGGAAUACUGCACAGCUAGGGAGUGGGAGAGGUAGACGGUACUCGGUA
Molecule: ribosomal RNA, 611 nt
Filed under: uncultured archaeon
Lineage: Archaea
Description: bacterial SSU rRNA
Rfam family: Archaeal small subunit ribosomal RNA
Source: RNAcentral